RNAcentral lists this ribosomal RNA (717 nucleotides) under uncultured Pseudomonas sp. Its description in RNAcentral is "bacterial SSU rRNA". It matches the Rfam family "Bacterial small subunit ribosomal RNA", at positions 49 to 764 of the family's 1533-position model. Lineage: Bacteria; Pseudomonadati; Pseudomonadota; Gammaproteobacteria; Pseudomonadales; Pseudomonadaceae. The record is from RNAcentral.
CUACACAUGCAAGUCGAGCGGAUGACGGGAGCUUGCUCCUUGAUUCAGCGGCGGACGGGUGAGUAAUGCCUAGGAAUCUGCCUGGUAGUGGGGACAACGUUUCGAAAGGAACGCUAAUACCGCAUACGUCCUACGGGAGAAAGCAGGGGACCUUCGGGCCUUGCGCUAUCAGAUGAGCCUAGGUCGGAUUAGCUAGUUGGUGGGGUAAUGGCUCACCAAGGCGACGAUCCGUAACUGGUCUGAGAGGAUGAUCAGUCACACUGGAACUGAGACACGGUCCAGACUCCUACGGGAGGCAGCAGUGGGGAAUAUUGGACAAUGGCGAAAGCCUGAUCCAGCCAUGCCGCGUGUGUGAAGAAGGUCUUCGGAUUGUAAAGCACUUUAAGUUGGGAGGAAGGGCAGUAAGUUAAUACCUUGCUGUUUUGACGUUACCGACAGAAUAAGCACCGGCUAACUCUGUGCCAGCAGCCGCGGUAAUACAGAGGGUGCAAGCGUUAAUCGGAAUUACUGGGCGUAAAGCGCGCGUAGGUGGUUUGUUAAGUUGGAUGUGAAAGCCCCGGCUCAACCUGGGAACUGCAUCCAAAACUGGCAAGCUAGAGUACGGUAGAGGGUGGUGGAAUUUCCUGUGUAGCGGUGAAAUGCGUAGAUAUAGGAAGGAACACCAGUGGCGAAGGCGACCACCUGGACUGAUACUGACACUGAGGUGCGAAAGCGUGG